UACGGGGGGGGUAAGCGUUGUUCGGAAUUACUGGGCGUAAAGGGCUCGUAGGCGGCCAACUAAGUCAUACGUGAAAUCCCUCAGCUUAACCGGGGAACUGCGUCUGAUACUGGAUGGCUUGAGUUUGGGAGAGGGAUGCGGAAUUCCAGGUGUAGCGGUGAAAUGCGUAGAUAUCUGGAGGAACACCGGUGGCGAAGGCGGCAUCCUGGACCAACACUGACGCUGAGUGAGCGAAAGCCAGGGGAGCAAACGGG
Molecule: ribosomal RNA, 254 nt
Filed under: uncultured bacterium
Lineage: Bacteria
Description: partial 16S ribosomal RNA
Rfam family: Bacterial small subunit ribosomal RNA
Source: RNAcentral